This 496-nucleotide ribosomal RNA is filed under the name uncultured bacterium. RNAcentral describes it as "partial 16S ribosomal RNA". It matches the Rfam family "Bacterial small subunit ribosomal RNA", at positions 28 to 506 of the family's 1533-position model. The record is from RNAcentral.
GAUAAACGCUGGCGGCGUGCCUAAUACAUGCAAGUCGAGCGAACAGAUGAGGAGCUUGCUCCUCUGACGUUAGCGGCGGACGGGUGAGUAACACGUGGAUAACCUACCUAUAAGACUGGGAUAACUUCGGGAAACCGGAGCUAAUACCGGAUAAUAUAUUGAACCGCAUGGUUCAAUAGUGAAAGACGGUUUUGCUGUCACUUAUAGAUGGAUCCGCGCCGCAUUAGCUAGUUGGUAAGGUAACGGCUUACCAAGGCAACGAUGCGUAGCCGACCUGAGAGGGUGAUCGGCCACACGGGAACUGAGACACGGUCCAGACUCCUACGGGAGGCAGCAGUAGGGAAUCUUCCGCAAGGGGCGAAAGCCUGACGGAGCAACGCCGCGUGAGUGAUGAAGGUCUUCGGAUCGUAAAACUCUGUUAUUAGGGAAGAACAAAUGUGUAAGUAACUAUGCACGUCUUGACGGUACCUAAUCAGAAAGCCACGGCUAACUACGU